Long non-coding RNA from Belonocnema kinseyi, 611 nucleotides. RefSeq lists it as uncharacterized. The record is from RefSeq and is a predicted model, not a curated record. The transcript has 4 exons. Lineage: Eukaryota; Metazoa; Arthropoda; Insecta; Hymenoptera; Cynipidae.
CGUAGAAGAUUUUUUCCUUGAUCUAUUUUAAAUAACUGAAAGUGAUGUAGUGAAUUCUCAUGAUAAGCACAUAAAUCCUAAUAAGAAAUCAGUGGAAAUCAGGUCAGGGCGUACCUCAGUAAAGUCAGGUACCAGGCAUUAAUCGGUUUUUCUCCAAAAAAGUAGCAAGGAAUCCAGGUGGGAAUCAGGAAGCAAAAGAUGGGCAUGAGUAUAAUGUACAACCUGAAAAUAGAAUAAAAGUGAAGUACGAGUAUAUAGGGGAAACCCAGUACCAGGUAGAUCAGUACGAACUGAAUGAUGAAAAAAUUGAAUGGGCUUGAAAUAAAAAUAAUUAUGGGGUCCUUCUCGAGGUCGCUCAUAUCGACUGUGGCACCUUUUUUCACGACGUCAGGAUGCUUUCGUACCAAAAGCCAUCCCAUGUGGGAGAAGAAGAAACCUCUGCCUGCAUUGUGAGGAUCAGCGUCGGUGUCCGUGAAUUUAUGGUGAACUCUGUGGUCUCUUACCCACUCGUAAAUGUGGUUCUAUAAUGAGAAAUAUGCUUUUAUAAUACAACAUAAUCGUUUCAUGUUUGUAAUUUAAUACUUAUAAAAUUGCUUCCUUCAAAAAAUAAG